This 167-nucleotide ribosomal RNA is filed under the name Indostomus paradoxus (armoured stickleback). RNAcentral's name for it is "partial 12S rRNA". The record is from RNAcentral. Lineage: Eukaryota; Metazoa; Chordata; Actinopteri; Synbranchiformes; Indostomidae.
CACCGCGGUUAUACGAGAGGCCCAAACUGAUAGACCACGGCGUAAAGCGUGGUUAAAGCACACACAAAAUAAAGCUAAACACUUCCACAGCCGUUAUACACAACCGAAAGUUAGAAGACCAACUACGAAAGUGGCUUUAAACGCUUGACCCCACGAAAGCUAAGGCA